GCGCGGGAUGGGCGACGAUCGCCGCCAGUCUUCCUGCGCGCUCUCUCUCUCGCUUUCUCUCUCUCUCUAUCUAUCUCUCUCGUUCUUUUUCUCUCGGGUUCUGAGCCGCACAGCCGGAGGGUCUCUCACGGGCUUCUCAGCUCUGCUCUGGGGUCUCCGCGAGCCCCCCUGGAACGAAGGGAUGCAAGGAGAGAGGGAUGAGGAGGGACGAGCUCGCCGAGCGCGAGGAGAAAAUGAUGACCAUCCAGCCUUACGGCAGCACCCACAGGCAAAGCUGUUCUCCAACCACAUAAAAAUAGCAGUGACCCUGGUGGUGUGCUUCGGAUAAUUGUCCUGCUGCAGAACCCAAGUAUGCCUGAGCUUAAGGACGUAAACUGAUGGCCGGACAUUCUCCUUCAGGAUUUUUUGAGAGAGAGCAGAAUUCACGGUUCCAUCAAUUACAGCAGUUGCUUGGACCGAAGCAGAGAGACAGUUUGACCGUUAGGAAAACUGAAGCUGUGUACCCCCGGCUCCCCCUGCCCCCCCUGCCCCCCACCGGCCUGGCAGGAAUGGUAAGCCCGGUGACAGGUUAGCAGCCAGUCAGCCGAGCAGUUGGGGGCUCAGAGAGGCAGGUGGGCAGCACACAGGCAGAUAUACGGGGCAGACGACAGGAAGACAGACAGACGUACAGAGCGACAGGCCGCGGGCAGGCAGCAGCGGCAGCAGCAGCAGCGGGGGUAGGUGCCUGGGUGUCCGCUUGGCUGUAGAAGAACAGAUGUGUGGUGAA
Long non-coding RNA from Astyanax mexicanus (Mexican tetra), 766 nucleotides. RefSeq lists it as uncharacterized. NCBI's taxonomy places the organism in Eukaryota, Metazoa, Chordata, Actinopteri, Characiformes, Acestrorhamphidae. The transcript has 4 exons. The record is from RefSeq and is a predicted model, not a curated record.